GAACGCUAGCUACAGGCUUAACACAUGCAAGUCGCGGGGUAACAUCUGGUAGAGCUUGCUCUUCCAGGAUGACGACCGGCGCACGGGUGAGUAACGCGUAUCCAACCUGGCCCAUACCACGGGAUAGCCCGUCGAAAGGCGGAUUAAUACCGUAUGCUGUCAUUAAGAUGCAUAUAUUGAUGACGAAAGGACUGGCGGUAUGGGAUGGGCAUGCGGCGCAUUAGGCAGACGGCGGGGUAACGGCCCACCGUACCGACGAUGCGUAGGGGUUCUGAGAGGAAGGUCCCCCACAUUGGAACUGAGACACGGUCCAAACUCCUACGGGAGGCAGCAGUGAGGAAUAUUGGUCAAUGGGCGAGAGCCUGAACCAGCCAAGUAGCGUGCAGGAUGACGGCCCUAUGGGUUGUAAACUGCUUUUAUAAGGGAAUAAAGUGGAGGUCGUGACCUCUUUUGCAUGUACCUUAUGAAUAAGGACCGGCUAAUUCCGUG
This 489-nucleotide ribosomal RNA is filed under the name uncultured bacterium. RNAcentral's name for it is "bacterial SSU rRNA". It matches the Rfam family "Bacterial small subunit ribosomal RNA", at positions 31 to 507 of the family's 1533-position model. The record is from RNAcentral.